This 4616-nucleotide long non-coding RNA is filed under the name Mus musculus (house mouse). Its description in RNAcentral is "long non-coding RNA chr13:8553019-8557635". Lineage: Eukaryota; Metazoa; Chordata; Mammalia; Rodentia; Muridae. The record is from RNAcentral.
ACACACACACACACACACACACACACACAGGAUUUUCAUGCACAAGUAUGUUCCAAAGAAAAUGCAAUCUUUUUGCUGUCCCCUAAAUCGUCUCUGUAAAUAAGCUGAGUCCUCCUUCUGCAGAGGUUUGGGCAGCCAUCUUGACUCUGAUCUCAGUGUUCAGCUUUCUAUGGAUCUUACUCUGCUCUCACCAGGGGCCUCACCUCCUCAUGUGACUCUAAAGAGGUUUCCAAAAGGCUUUGUCUUUGAGAUGAUUGGUUGUGAUGGGCUGGCUUAGGCUUUGUCUUUGAGAUUAUUGGUUGUGAUGGGCUGGUUUAGGCUUUGUCUUUGAGAUUGGUUACGAUGGGCUGGUUUAGGCUUUAAGGUUAUUGGUUGUUAUGAUUUGGCUUUUCUUUUUCUGUAGUGCCUAGGACUUUUAAAAUAUGUCUGAGUACUCACAAUUAUAAAAUAAACAGACAAGAAUAUAAAAAUAUAAAUGGUGAUAAGCGGACCUACAAGUGGAUAUGGAAUUUAUCCAUGCUGGUCCAUACCUUCACUCAACAUCUGUCAUCCUGACUCUUCUUUACAGAUGGAAUAACACACAUGCCACCCUCCACUUCCCUCUUUUACUUUGAGGCUUUGAAACAUUUUGUCGUUGUUGUUGUUGUUUUCUUGCCCAGUUACAGUUUUGUCUUUAGCACUUUGACCUCUGAGGUAUAAUUUACAUAAUGGGAAAGAUUGUGGAUUAGGGACACCUGCAUGUCCCCGUAAAGCACAUGGCUUUACUAUCUCUACCAUAACACACACAUGAAGCCCACAGCUUCAUCUACAUAGAAUAUGUUUUCGUCGUCACACCAGAAAUAUUCUUCAUGACCUCUUCCUAGCCACCCUAAAACCCAACCCCAGGGGCCACCUGAUUGCUCUCACACAAAGCAGUUUGCAGCAACAGUAACAUCACAAAGUAAGGAUUUUCUUUCACCAUGAAGGUGUUUUGCCUGCUCUGAAAUUUCUAAAUUUCUAAAUUUCUAAAGUGGUACAUUCUGUGUUAUGACUGUUUUUUUUCCACUCUCUCUCAGUCUCUCUCUCUCUCUCUCUCUCUCUCUCUCUCUCUCUCUCUCUCUCUCUCUCUCUCUCCAUCACCCCCACCCAUCUAAUGCUUCUGAGAUGCAUCCAUAGCAUAAUGUAUUUUGAUAGUACCAGCCUUUCAUUUCAUUUUGUUUUGUUUGGCUCUGUGCUACUUCAUCCUGUAAAUGUAUUAAAAUUUAUUUGUUCGUUCUUCUGUCGAUGGUCAUCUGAGGUAGUUUGAAUUUGGAGUCAUGAUGGGUAAAGUUUCUAUAAGAACCUUUACAAUACAAAUACAAACACAGAUCCUUUGUAAAGAUAUCUAUUUCAUUUAAGUUGAGUAAAAAUCUAGAAAUGAUGUUGGUAGGUCAUAGGUGUAUAUCUAACAGUUAGAAUAUCAUCCAAAGGUUCCUAAAAUGUGUCUAUUAAUAUGAGCUUUGUGGCUAUCUCUGCAUCUUUUACCACAUUUUAGCAUUACCAGUAUUUUUAUACUUGAAGCUUUGCUAAAAGGUGUGGUCUCUAUUUGCAAGUCUCACUGAAGUUUUAAUUUGCAUUUCCCCAAGCCAUACUGCCAGUUAAUACAACUUGGUGAAUUUAUUGGCAAUACAUUUCUUUUCUAUUGUGAAAUUUCUGUUCAAAUAUCGUGACCACUUUUAGAAGUUGUAUUUUAUAACCUUAGUUAUUAAGUUAGAAAGAUUCUUACACUCUGGAUACAGAUAAACUCUGGGGACUAUAAGCACAUAAUCCCAGUCUGGAGAUUCUGUUUUGAUUUUAACAGUAUGGUUUAUGCUUAUUAAAUUUUUGUUUAGUUGGACUUUUAUUUAUGAACAUUUGAUUUAAUCAUAUUUACCUUGUGAUUUCAGUCCUUUGAAAUUUAUUAGGACCUGUUUUGUUUUUUUUUCUAAGCAGAUUAUCUCUCUCAAUAAGUGUGCUGUGAUACCGUGAGAUGAAAGUACACACCUCUCUUGUUGAUCAGAGUAUUCUGCGCAUGCCACUGAGAUCAGGCUAGCUCUGAGCUUGCUUCAGCCUCUCCUGCACACCAUCUCUCUGCCCUGCUUUUUCUCCCCAGAACUGAGAGGAAUGCUAAAAUCUCAUUGGUCAUGUAUUUGUCUACCCUUCAGCUUACGUUUGCUAGUUUUUGAUUCAUGCUGCUUGAAACUCUAAGUGAAUGCACUCUCAAGGAUGUCCUUUUAAUGGUUUAUUGUGAUUUCAUGACUUUUUAAUUCAUGGGAAUUUCCUGAAUCUCAAGACUUACGAUAUCUGUUGUUAAUUCAGUCAUCACCCUUCCUUGUGAUUAUACCUUCAUGGUAUAUCUGUCCAUACACACUCAUCUCCAAUGUGUUUGAAGCAAACUGCCGAUUUCCUUCCAAUUUAUCCCAUAUGGCACCUGCUCUUCCCUUGUCUUUUUAAUUAGCUACUCAUAUUUUUUCUGGGUUUUUUUUAUGCUUUAUUUUGUAUUGUAAAAAAUACAAUAGGGUAUUAGUUCUUAUGUGUUUGGUUGGUUGAUUUGGUCUUUGUUUUGGUUUUGGAUUUUUUUUAGGCCUGGUCUCACUCUGUAGCCCAAGGGAGCCUGGAAUUCACUGUACAGUGCAGUGUGACCUGGACAACUAUCUUAAUGGUGCAACCUUUGUUCUUGGCUUAGAUCAGUUUGUGAAUAUCAUUGUGGACUUUGUAGAGUCUGUCUUUCUACUAGAAAAAUGAUUUCCUUUUCCUCAGACACAGUCCUUGUUCACUACCUGCUACCCCAACUCUGCAAACAGUCACUUCAUAUAUCUUGUUUUAUUUUAGUAAUGAUUACAGUGGUGGCAAGUCAUCACGGUCAUCAUGACCAGUAACAUUUCUCACCCUUACUAAUGACCCUUCCUCCCUGCUCUCUCUAGGCAUGGGCUUGGGAUAUGUAACAACAUGCUCAUGGGUUCUCUGCUCACAAAAAAGGGAGAUAACAGUUCCUCUACAGCUCCCACUCUUCAUUCAAAGGGAAGCAACAAGACAAACUGAACAGUUACCACAUCUGUCCUCUUCUUUACCACAGUGAUGUCAAGUUAUGGCUUUCUUUGGCUUUGGAAAGAAAGGAGGGGAAAUCACUCUAUUUUCUCAUAUGAGGAUAUUCCUCAGCAUGGUCUGUCACUGAGUUUCAACUAACCAUGAUCAUUUUUGUUUAUUAAUACAGUGCAAGGGAUUGCUUUUAUAGAAAGCACAUGUAAUUUUUUUCUCCUAAAUAUUAACCUUUAAGUCUUUUAAUCAUAAUAUCAUCAUCACAUGACUUUUUCUUUAUAUGCCUUAAAAUCAAGGAUAACACUUUUCUCUUAGUUUUACAUGUAUGACAGAUGAUGAAACACACACACAUGCGCAUGUGUGUAUAAGGGAUGGAGCUGAGAGCAUUUACUACUCUUGCAAAGGACCCAGGUUCAGUUCCCAUCACUCACACACUGGGCUACAAUCAUCCAUAACUCACGUUCCAGGGGAUUCAGUACUCUCUUCUGAUACCCAAGGACACCUGGCAGGCACAUGAUGUACAUACAUACAGGCAAAGGAAACUUCCAUACACCUAAAAUAAAAUAAAGAAAUCUUAAACACAUAGGAUAUUCAGUUACAUUUUACUCUCAUUAACAUGGUGGUGAUAUACUUUAAUCUAAGAAUAUUUAAUGGGCUCAUUAAAUCAUACAUAUUUAAAGUAUAUCAUGUUAUGAUUUUAUAGAUGUAUACAUUGUAUAAUUAUCAUAAUUAGGUUAAUAUGUCCAUUAUUACUCAGAGUUACCAUUGUGUGUGUAUGUGUGUGUGUGUGAGUGUGUAUAGGAGUGUAAAAAUCUAUUCUCAUUAGGCUGCAAGCAUUCAAUGCAUUGCUGUUGCCUACAGUCAUGAUGCUUUUCAUUAGGGAAUCAGAACCUUGAACUCAAGAUACAUGAAAGCUUUAUGUUCUUUAACUGACAUCUCCCCACUCACAGACUUUUCAGAUUGCACAUGUAAAUGAGGUCAUACGCCAUAUAUCUUGUACUACAAAACCCAUAAUUUCAACCAUAUGAGGGCAAAUUGUGUGGAUUCUUUCUUCUCCGUGCUGAAGGACAUUCUACUGUAAGGGAACACAUUUUUGUUUAUUCAUCCAUCUGUCAGUGGACACUUGAAUGUCUGUCUCUAGACCACAGUGAAGUGACACCUUCAGUCCUUUGAGGUAUAGACCUAUGAGAGAGAUUGGCAUGUCCAGAGCAGUGCACUGCUUCAUGUCAUCACUGAUGCAGCUCAGGAUCUGGGCUUCACACACACCUUUACCGACACACUAUUUUCUUGUCUUGUUGACAGUAGCUGCCCUGUCGGUGUAGGGUGCUGUUUCAUUGUGGUACUCCUUGCACUUGCUCUCUGUUAAUAACUACUGCCAUUAAUCAUUGUCUGCUCACGAGACAGUAGAGUAUCCUCCUUGGAAAUACCCAUGCCCUUUGCCUUAAGCAUGAACUUUAGAUACACAGUAAGUGCUUGUCCUGGCUUAUCCAUGCCUCACACAAUAUGAAGACUAUGUGUUCACUGAAAAGCCCUCUUCAUCCAGCAUUCAUUUUUAACUGCAUGCACUCUUUUUGUUUGAU